This 325-nucleotide ribosomal RNA is filed under the name uncultured eukaryote. Its description in RNAcentral is "partial 18S ribosomal RNA". It matches the Rfam family "Eukaryotic small subunit ribosomal RNA", at positions 1470 to 1796 of the family's 1831-position model. The record is from RNAcentral.
CCCUUAGAUGUUCUGGGCCGCACGCGCGCUACACUGAUGCAUUCAGCGAGUCCAUCCUUGCCCGAAAGGGCUGGGUAAUCUUUUGAAAUUGCAUCGUGAUGGGGCUUGCGGGUUGCAACUACCCGCACCAACGAGGAAUUCCUAGUAAACGCAAGUCAACAACUUGCAUUGAUUACGUCCCUGCCCUUUGUACACACCGCCCGUCGCUACUACCGAUUGAAUGGCUUAGUGAGCCUUUGGGAUUGGCAGCUUGUACCGGCAACGGUAGCAGGCUGCUGAAAACUUAGGCAAACUUGGUCAUUUAGAGGAAGUAAAAGUCGUAACA